AGGAUGAACGCUGGCGGCGUGCUUAACACAUGCAAGUCAUGGGGGCCCGAGGCGCAAGCUUAGGGCAACCGGCGAACGGGUGCGUAACACGUGAGCAACCUACCCAGGUGUGGGGGAUAGCCGUCCCAACGGACGGGUAAUACCGCAUACGCUCAACACGAGGCAUUUCGAGUUGAGGAAACCUUCGGGGCACCAUGAGGGGCUCGCGGCCUAUCAGCUAGUUGGCGAGGUAACGGCUCACCAAGGCUACGACGGGUAGCUGGUCUGAGAGGAUGACCAGCCACAUUGGGACUGAGAAACGGCCCAGACUCCUACGGGAGGCAGCAGUGGGGAAUCUUGCGCAAUGGCCUAACGGCUGACGCAGCGACGCCGCGUGAGGAUGACGCUCUUCGGAGUGUAAACCUCUUUUUGCCUGGAACGAACUAUCAGCUUCAGCUGAUUUGACGUACCGGUGAAUAGCACCGGCUAACUCCGUGCCAGCAGCCGCGUAAUC
RNAcentral lists this ribosomal RNA (493 nucleotides) under uncultured soil bacterium. RNAcentral's name for it is "bacterial SSU rRNA". It matches the Rfam family "Bacterial small subunit ribosomal RNA", at positions 26 to 525 of the family's 1533-position model. The record is from RNAcentral.